AACGGAUAUAUGAAAUAUCAGACAAAUUAUUAACAAUCUAAUAAGCAUUUUUUGUUUUUUUCACUUCCUCUUAUUUUCUUCCCGUAAUGAUUUUAUUCUCGUUCGUUAAUAUUUCAAAGUCACAGUUAAAGUAAUACUCGGGUAAAUGAGACUACUUGUAUAUAAUGAAAGAUAGAAAAUUGAAAGGGUUAUGUGCAAAGUUUGAUAUAGCAAAGUUCACGACCUCAUUGAUAAGAAAAUACUUCAAGGAAUAUUUCAAAUAAAAAAUACUAAAGAUUUCUUGGAAGUUGAUCUUCGCUCAUCGUCAAAUUGAAAAAGAACAUUGUUAAACGUACGAUAAUAAUUUUAAAUAAUAUCCGUUGAAACUAAUUAAUUAUUUAGAAGUUGAAAUUAGAUAUAAAACUAAACAUAGUGAAAGAAGUGAACUGUCAAUAUUUUUAAUUUGUUAUCUUCCACUUUAUUUUUCAAAUUACAAUACAUUCGAUAUUUAUAGAAUCACAUAAACUGUUCGUUUCAAAUUGACCGUUUAAUAUCCUUAUGAUGUUAGUGUAUAUAUAUAAUGUUUGUAUUAAAUGACCUAACCUUUGACUUUGAUUUCUUAACCUCACUUUUUAUUUAAAGUUGUUUUUCAUGAUAACUUGUAUUGAGAAACUUGUAUUUAUGAAAAAAUGGAGACCGUACGUCCAUGUGGUUGUAAAGGAAUUCGUACAUGUUUGAUUUGCGAAGAACAAUUUAACAUAACAAAACCGGAUUUGAAAGAAAAGUUACAAGAAAAAUCCUCUUAUGUUUAUUGUCCGCAUUGCGAUAAAGCAUGGCCUGGAUGGGAUAUAGAAUUGUACAAGGAACAUCCUCAUCAUAAAGGACAUGCAAUAGAUUAUCCAGGUGUUUUUAUUAAACUUGAUUUUUUAAAUACAGAAGAGACAUUGACUUUGAUGAAGUCGUUAGAUGAAUUACCAUGGGAACCAUCGCAAAGUGGUAGAAGAAAACAAAAUUUUGGUCCAAAGUGUAAUUUUAAGAAACGAAAAUUACGUUUAGGUACCUUCAAUGGAUUUCCACAAUCUACAGAAUUUGUACAGAAGAAGUUCAAUGAAAUUUCACUUUUAAAUAAUUUUAGAACAAUAGAACAAUGCACUCUUGAAUACAAUCCAAAACGAGGAGCUUCUAUAGAUCCUCAUAUAGAUGAUUGUUGGAUAUGGGGAGAGCGUAUAGUUACAGUUAAUGUAUUAGGUGAUUCUGUAUUAACAAUGACACCUUAUACCGAAUCGAUUAGACGUUACAAUCUGGAUUAUGUAGAAAAUUAUUCUAAAAUUGAUAAGAAAAUAGAAACACAACAAGACAUGGUAAUACGUUUACCUAUGCCAGCAAAAUCAUUGAUGAUUUUAUAUGGACUUGCAAGGUAUAAUUGGGAGCACUCUGUGCUUCGAGAAGAUGUAACAUCAAGACGUGUCUGUCUUGCUUAUAGAGAAUUAACUCCACCAUAUCUUGAAAAUGGCAAACAUGAAAAAGAAGCAUCAGAAAUUCUUGAAAAAGCAAACAAUUUUUGGUAAAAAGUAAAUAAUACCACUAAUAUCAUGUUCACACAAUUUAACUGUAAUGCAAUAUCCAUUGCAUUUUUAUCAUUCCAUUUGAAAUGUCAUGCAUUAUGGAAUAUAACCAUAAAUAGAACAAAAGAAGUAUCGAACAUAAAGCAGGACGAUUUAAAUAAAAAUUUUACAGUGGAAAUUUUGAUACAAUUCAAAGUCGAAUCUUAUAAUUAUAUUUGUCAAAAUCUUACCCUGGACUGCAUGAAAUUAACUGCACUUUUAACUUCGUCAUUAUUAUCGUAUUCGUGCAUCGUACUGUUGAUAUUAUAUUCCAAAAGAUCUUUUACGGUGUCCUGUAAUGCAUAUGCUGCAGUCGCCGCAGACAAUUCCAUUAUUAAGACAACGGAUAAAGAAACUGCAAACUAGGAAAAAGAAGAAAGAAAAUAUAAAUAAUAUUAGCGUAAUAUACUUACCACAAGAACCAUGCAAGUACUUUCUCGAAGAGCACCGCAACAUCCAAAGAAGGCAAUUAUAAAAACUAAUAUACCAACUAUGAUCAAGAGCGUGGCUGGUGAGAAAUAUCUGGUAUCCAAGAAAUGGGAGAAAUCUUCAUAAACGGCAUAGAUUGUAGAGCCAACCGAUAUUAUCAUCACACCCGUCAACUAUAUCAAAAUUAUUAUUAAUUAAUAAUCAAUUAUUCAAUUUGUGAUAUCAAUGUAUUUUUUUAAUCUAAUAAUUCUCAAUCAUUGAAUCGCUAGUAUCGAUUAUAAAAUCAUCUAUGUUAUUUGCUUAUUUUAAAUAAUCUAAAUCAUACUGUUAUAUUAUUAUUGAAAGUAUAUUGGCAGCUACGUUCGUCGUUUGGGCAUUAAAAAAUGCUGUCUUUUUAUUAAAAACGUAUCACUGAUUACAAUUCACAAUCAAUGUAUACUAAUUGGAGUCGUAUAAUCGUUAACACGUGUUAAACUGAACGAAUAUUUUUUAAAUAUUUGAUUAACUGACUUAACAUUUACAAUUAAUCAGAAAAGUGUCGAGUAAAAAAAAAAAAAGAAAAAAAAAAAGAAAAUAACCCAAGAAAAUUGAUCUUUUUUUCUUCUGUUCUUUUUUGCUUUAAACAAAUCAAAAGAACAUUCAGAUAUAAUAUAAAUGAUAUCUCUAAUAAAGAUAUCUCAAUUCCCAAGGGACUAAUCUAAUUCCCCUAUAUAUUAUAAACUUUCAUCUUGAAUUCUUUUUUGUACUUUGCCAAAGAAAGAUAAAUUCGUUUAUCUGAUGAUGAUAUAUCAAAAAACAUAUCAUACGAUCAACAUCAAUACGAGAAUCAUAUAAUUAUCUCUACUGAUAAGACAGUUCUUUGUAUUUUCAAAUAUAAUCGACUUACAUACUUUUA
Molecule: RNA transcript, 2907 nt
Organism: Vespa velutina
Lineage: Eukaryota; Metazoa; Arthropoda; Insecta; Hymenoptera; Vespidae
Gene name: alpha-ketoglutarate-dependent dioxygenase alkB homolog 4
Exons: 7
Source: RefSeq, a predicted model, not a curated record